CUCCCAGGCUUUGCACACAACUUCUGCAGCAUCUGCAUUCCAGGAAUGAAUGGAGCCAGGGGCCAUCUAGGUAUAAGGCCUUCCACCUGCCAUGCAAAUGCUCUACCACUGAGCUACAUCUCCAGCCUCCCUCCUCUUUUUGUAUUUUAUUUCUGAGAUAGGGUUUUGGUAAGUUGCCUAGGCUAGUUUCAAACUUAAAAAUCCCCUGCCCUCACCUUCCUGAGUAGCUAGAAUUAUAGCUCUGUGCCACCAUGGUAGGGUCAGAUUGUUUCCUUGCAUUAAAAGAAAUGUCAGUCCCCAGUGGAGGGGUAACAACCUCAGGGCAGCAAGAGGCAGCCAGGGAGCACCAGGGAGGGCAGGAGCUGAGCCCAAACACAGGGAGCCACUCAGAUCUGAGGCUUAUUUAGUCCUGCCACCAACCGUGGUCUUCCAUUUUCUUCCCUUGAGGGCCUGAGCUAUAGGAAAGCAAUAGGCCCCUCCCAUAAACCCAGAGAAACCCAAGGGGAUUCCCCACCUCAGCCCAGAAGUAGGUGCCCAGUGAUCCCAUCACACAGACUACUCCCAUCCCCUUGGGGAAUCCAUGUGGGAAAAGCUCCUUCCUCCCUGGGGAAACCAUGGGGGGGGGGGGAUGGGCAUCAAGCAUUCAACCAGCCUCAAUGAGGGUUAUGGCUGCUGGAACUGGGGGAAGUCGGGCAAACAGAGGUCUCUAGAAAUGGCAGCCAAUGGGUCAGGCUUGCUCCCGAAUCCUCAGUCCCAAGGUGCUGCCAGGGGACUGUCUGUGCUCUCCAGGAGUGGAAUGUUCUGAGGGCAAAUCAGUUCACAGGUGUGGUAGGAAAAGCACCAGCCCUGGGUUUGAGAACCAACCCUAAUGUAUCCCACUUCCCCCUGGGCAAGUGACCGCCUCUGAAGGCAAGUGCUAGGAGGGAGUCUGUUUCGUUUGUUACAUCUGUAACACUUAGCACAUAGUAGUUGCUCAAUAAAUAUUAUACCAGGUCAGGGCAAUGACCUAAGCUUUGGUUUGUUCAUUUUCAAAAUAGGGAUGAUAAUAGCUAUCUCACAGG
RNAcentral lists this long non-coding RNA (1061 nucleotides) under Heterocephalus glaber (naked mole-rat). Its description in RNAcentral is "lncRNA (ENSHGLG00000047396.1)". The record is from RNAcentral. Lineage: Eukaryota; Metazoa; Chordata; Mammalia; Rodentia; Bathyergidae.